This 480-nucleotide ribosomal RNA is filed under the name uncultured bacterium. RNAcentral describes it as "partial 16S ribosomal RNA". It matches the Rfam family "Bacterial small subunit ribosomal RNA", at positions 28 to 523 of the family's 1533-position model. The record is from RNAcentral.
GACGAACGCUGGCGGCGUGCUUAACACAUGCAAGUCGAGCGAUGAAGCACCUUCGGGUGUGGAUUAGCGGCGAACGGGUGAGGAACACGUGAGGAAUCUGCCUUCCACUCUGGGAUAACUCCGGGAAACCGGGGCUAAUACCGGAUACUUUCAACUGGCGGCAUCGCCGGUUGAAGAAAGUUUUUCGGUGGAAGAUGACCUCGCGGCCUAUCAGCUUGUUGGUGAGGUAAUGGCUCACCAAGGCGAAGAAGGGUAGCCGGCCUGAGAGGGCGGCCGGCGCCACUGGGAAUGGGACGCGGCCCAGACUCCGACGGGAGGCAGCAGUGGGGGAUAUUGGGCAAUGGAGGAAACUCUGACCCAGCGACGCCGCGUGAGGGAUGAAGGCCUUCGGGUUGUAAACCUCUUUCAGCAGGGAAUAAGCGAAAGUGAAGGUACCUGCAGAAGAAGCACCGGCUAACUAUGUGCCAGCAGCCGCCGUAA